CCACACACACAGUAACGCGAGAGAAGCAGAGACCGUGAGAGAAGAAAGAAAAAGGAAAAGAAGAAAGGAAAAAGAAGAAGAAAAAGAAAGGAAAAAAAAGGGAAGAAGAAAAGAGGUAAGGCUAAUCUCUUCAAGCUGGGAUGUAAUUUAUUCAUUGUUCCAAGUGAUAUAGGUGUGAUUUAUGUUAAAUUUUUAGGGUUUUAACUUGUAAUAAUAAAAUGUCAAAUUUAUGUGAUAUAUGUACGAUUUGGGGAACUCAAGCUUGUGGAUUUAUUAGGUUACAGUUUCAGCAAGGUAGUUAGUAAAAUUUUUGGGGAAACCCUAGAAUUCGAUUUUGGAUUUUUGAUUAAUUAAUUGUGGAAAUGAUUAUAAAAAUGGAAUAUUUCACUUGGGAGUUGAUUUUAUGGUACAAAAUGUAUAUUAAAUAGGUGGAAUUAUGGUUACUAGUUUCACUAAAUUGGAGAGUAAAAUUACUUUUAAACUUGGGAAGAAGGUUUUGUUGAUGAAUUAGUUAGUAGAAAAGGAAUUAGAAAGUGAGAUUAGCUCCAAUUGAUCAAAAGAAUAUUUGGGAAAUUCAUUCGAGCAUCGAUCAAUUUUAGUUAACUAUUAUAGAAGUAGAUCUUAAAGUUUCUUAAUUUAAUAGUGGUUUAUUAGUCAUCUUGUUAUGUAUUCCAGGUGGUGAUGAGGAGAUUGGAAGAGCCUAUCGACCAUCUUAGGUUCAGCUUAUAUUAUGUGAGUGGAUAAGCUUAUUUUUCAGAAAUUAGUAUUUAUUUAAUUUAUAUCAACUCAGAAAAUUUAUUAAUUCAUACAGUAGAUUUGACAACACGAUUUUCAGAAUAAAGUUGAUUUAUAACCAGUUGUUUUUAAAAGUUAAAUUCAAUUUAGUAAAUCAUUUUAUUAACAUGUUAUAUGAGUAUUAAAUGUUUCAGCAUAUUUAAAGUUAUUUUCUAAAAAUCACUAGAAAGUACCCAGAUGAUUUUACUCUCGUCUGCACUGGUGUGAAUGUGUUUCCAUAGUGUAUGACUUCAUAUGGUUAUUUUAUCCACUCUGCGCUGGUGUGAAUAUGUUUUUACACCGUAUGAUCAGUAUAAUGAUUUUACCCGCUCUGCACUAUUGUGAAUGUGUUUCCAUAGUGUAUGACCAUUUUAUUGCUCUGUGCGCGUAUGACCAGAAUUUCAGAAUUAUAGAAUUACAGGAUUACAGAAUUUCGGAAUUGAAUAACCUUGCUAUGUAUAACGAGAUUAAUCGAUACACGAGUAUGGUUAUUCCGGGUACAUUUUUGGUGUGAUGUUUCAGUAUUACAUAAUUUAUCGGAUUUUAGAAAUGCAAUAUACAGAAUAAAGAUGUUUAUGAUUAUUGUAUAUUUUAGUUUUGAUAGUAUUAUCAAAUUUUAAGCUACAAAAUUCAGCUUAUUCAGUUUAAAGAAUAAAUAUUUUAGUUUAUAUGCCUGUGAAAAGAAAAUUUAUGCUAUAUGUCAAUUUUCAGAAAGAUUUUAUGAAUGGAAAAGUAUACUUUUACAAAUAUCCACUCACUGAGUCGCAAGCUCAUAUUUUUGCCACCUCAUUUCUUAUAAGAUAAAAGCUACGUUGAGCCAUAUCGGAGCUUGUCGAUCGGCGAGUUUCACUACAUCGUGUCAUUGUUUGUAUGUGUCAUCUUGUUAAUUCAUACAACACAUAUUUUUUGGGAUUGAUGUAUUUUGUGUCGGAAAAUGUAUUAAGUCACAGGCUCAUUGCAUAUUUUGUGUAUGUUUUGAAAUGAAAUUGUUUGGUGGUAAAGAAGGGUAAAUUUCUAUUUCAGUACUAUUCUUUGAAAAAUUGGUAUUUUGAGGGGCCGGUGUACCCUGUUUUAAAAUAUUUGUACAUGUUUGGGAUAUUUGAUUUUAAUUUCAGGUGGUUUUAGUCCAUUUUUCAGAGGGAACUUUGCUGAAUUUUUUUAUAAAAUUAUAACAGUCAAAGCAUGUCAAGUUUGCCUUGGUGGUGGGUCCGGCACUUCGCUGGUAUCUACCAUCAGCGCACGACACGUGUUGGAUCCAUUAGGGUGGUUCGGGACGGGUCGUGUCAAUUGGUAUAAGAGCCAGGUUAUAAAGUCAGUUUGCAUGGUUUAUUUGAUUUUCGUUCUCAUCAUAUCAUACAUAUUUUGUAGUUGGAAGUCAUGGCUCGUGGUAAUAAGACACGCAGGCUCCAAGAUAUGUCGUCUCAACCACCAGCUACUCCUGAUAGGG
Molecule: long non-coding RNA, 2221 nt
Filed under: Olea europaea (common olive)
Lineage: Eukaryota; Viridiplantae; Streptophyta; Magnoliopsida; Lamiales; Oleaceae
Description: long non-coding RNA (OEUR_LNC006507)
Source: RNAcentral